GGCUCAGGACGAAACGCUGGCGGCGCGCUUAACACAUGCAAGUCGAACGAUGAAGCUCUAGCUUCGCUAGGCGGAUUAGCGGCGAACGGGUGAGUAAUACGCGAGCGACCUACCUCCGACUCUGGGAUAAGCCUGGGAAACUAGGGUCUAAUACCGGAUACGACCAAUCUCCGCAUGGGGUGUUGGUGGAAAGCGUUAUGGAGUGGUUUUAGAUGGGCUCACGGCCUAUCAGCUUGUUGGUGAGGUAAUGGCUUACCAAGGCGACGACGGGUAGCCGGCCUGAGAGGGUGACCGGCCACACUGGGACUGAGACACGGCCCAGACUCCUACGGGAGGCAGCAGUGGGGAAUAUUGCACAAUGGGCGCAAGCCUGAUGCAGCGACGCCGCGUGAGGGAUGACGGCCUUCGGGUUGUAAACCUCUGUUAGCAUCGAAGAAGCGAAAGUGACGGUAGGUGCAGAGAAAGCGCCGGCUAACUACGUGCCAGCAGCCGCGGUAAUACGUAGGGCGCGAGCGUUGUCCGGAAUUAUUGGGCGUAAAGAGCUUGUAGGGCGGUUGGUCGCGUCUGCUGUGAAAGGCUGGGGCUUAACCCUGGUUUUGCAGUGGGUACGGGCUAACUAGAGUGCAGUAGGGGAGACUGGAAUUCCUGGUGUAGCGGUGGAAUGCGCAGAUAUCAGGAGGAACACCGAUGGCGAAGGCAGGUCUCUGGGCUGUAACUGACGCUGAGAAGCGAAAGCAUGGGGAGCGAACAGGAUUAGAUACCCUGGUAGUCCAUGCCGUAAACGUUGGGCACUAGGUGUGGGGGACAUUCCACGUUUUCCGCGCCGUAGCUAACGCAUUAAGUGCCCCGCCUGGGGAGUACGGCCGCAAGGCUAAAACUCAAAGAAAUUGACGGGGGCCCGCACAAGCGGCGGAGCAUGCGGAUUAAUUCGAUGCAACGCGAAGAACCUUACCAAGGCUUGACAUAUACUGGACUGCGUCAGAGAUGGCGUUUCCCUUCGGGGCUGGUAUACAGGUGGUGCAUGGUUGUCGUCAGCUCGUGUCGUGAGAUGUUGGGUUAAGUCCCGCAACGAGCGCAACCCUCGUUCUAUGUUGCCAGCACGUGAUGGUGGGGACUCAUAGGAGACUGCCGGGGUCAACUCGGAGGAAGGUGGGGAUGACGUCAAAUCAUCAUGCCCCUUAUGUCUUGGGCUUCACGCAUGCUACAAUGGUCGGUACAGAGGGUUGCGAUACUGUGAGGUGGAGCUAAUCCCUAAAAGCCGGUCUCAGUUCGGAUUGGGGUCUGCAACUCGACCCCAUGAAGUCGGAGUCGCUAGUAAUCGCAGAUCAGCAACGCUGCGGUGAAUACGUUCCCGGGCCUUGUACACACCGCCCGUC
Molecule: ribosomal RNA, 1376 nt
Filed under: uncultured bacterium
Lineage: Bacteria
Description: 16S ribosomal RNA
Rfam family: Bacterial small subunit ribosomal RNA
Source: RNAcentral